CAGAACCAGACCUUGGACCACUGGACCAGACUAUGCCUCAGGGCCCUGACACCUGUGGCCACCAGAAAAUUUUAAAGAUAUGUGUGAUUCACAUUUGUGGCUCGCAUCUCACCUCCAUCAGACGGUGCUGCUUGGAGGACACUUGGUCUCGGAACAGGGAGAGGAUUGCUGCGGAUUUACUGCUCUCAUGCCGAGAUCUGCAAAAUGAGACAAGAGGCGGUAAGGCCAGGACAUAGAAGGUGCCUGGUAAAAGUGAGUUUCCUUUUCUCCUUCCUCCAAAAGCAAGAGAAGGCACCCCUGCAGAAGACACGCACCCACUGGCCAUGGGAGAAUCCGUAGGCAGGAAACCCGACGACAAAGCCUUCAGCGGCUCCCUGUUUCUUACCACAGCGAGUCUGGGGGCCUUGACACCAUGGCCCACAAAGAAGACACACCCAUUCUGACACCAGACAUUCUGUCCCGACGCCAGUGUUCAGACUCAUUUUCCAAAACCCACAUCUGAUUAACUCAGUCCCUGAAAUUCUCUCCAAGGUCCACCCUUUCCUGUAGAAUAAGGUCCAGCUCCAGACUGCUGUCUUCACGGUCCUCAUGGUCCAGCCCCAUCCUCCCUCCCAGGACUCAUCCGACCCCUCCCCAUCACGCAGACAUGG
This is a long non-coding RNA of Equus asinus (donkey), 650 nucleotides long. The record is from Ensembl. Lineage: Eukaryota; Metazoa; Chordata; Mammalia; Perissodactyla; Equidae.